This 70-nucleotide small RNA is filed under the name Drosophila guanche. The record is from RNAcentral. Lineage: Eukaryota; Metazoa; Arthropoda; Insecta; Diptera; Drosophilidae.
UGCCGCAGCCGCUGCUGCCGCUGCCGCUGCUGCUGCUGCUGCCGCUACGUCUGCUGCUGCUGCUGGGGCA